This 277-nucleotide ribosomal RNA is filed under the name uncultured Staphylococcus sp. RNAcentral describes it as "partial 16S ribosomal RNA". It matches the Rfam family "Bacterial small subunit ribosomal RNA", at positions 85 to 354 of the family's 1533-position model. The record is from RNAcentral. Lineage: Bacteria; Bacillati; Bacillota; Bacilli; Caryophanales; Staphylococcaceae.
UUUGACGUUAGCGGCGGACGGGUGAGUAACACGUGGGUAACCUACCUAUAAGACUGGGAUAACUUCGGGAAACCGGAGCUAAUACCGGAUAAUAUUUCGAACCGCAUGGUUCGAUAGUGAAAGGUGGUUUUGCUAUCACUUAUAGAUGGACCCGCGCCGUAUUAGCUAGUUGGUAAGGUAACGGCUUACCAAGGCGACGAUACGUAGCCGACCUGAGAGGGUGAUCAGCCACACUGGAACUGAGACACGGUCCAGACUCCUACGGGAGGCAGCAGGC